Molecule: ribosomal RNA, 400 nt
Filed under: uncultured bacterium
Lineage: Bacteria
Description: bacterial SSU rRNA
Rfam family: Bacterial small subunit ribosomal RNA
Source: RNAcentral
UGAGGAAUAUUGGGCAAUGGAGGCAACUCUGACCCAGCCAUGCCGCGUGAAGGAUGAAGGUCCUCUGGAUUGUAAACUUCUUUUGUAUGGGGAUAAACUUUUCUACGUGUAGGAAACUGAAGGUACCAUACGAAUAAGGAUCGGCUAACUCCGUGCCAGCAGCCGCGGUAAUACGGAGGAUCCAAGCGUUAUCCGGAUUUAUUGGGUUUAAAGGGUCCGUAGGCGGGUCUUUAAGUCAGUGGUGAAAGCCUGCAGCUUAACUGUGGAAAUGCCAUUGAUACUGGAGGCCUUGAGUGUAGUAGAAGUAGGCGGAAUAGGGCAUGUAGCGGUGAAAUGCAUAGAUAUGCCCUAGAACACCGAUUGCGAAGGCAGCUUACUAUGUUACAACUGACGCUGAGGG